GAUGAACGCUGGCGGCGUGCCUAAUACAUGCAAGUCGAGCGAACGGACGAGAAGCUUGCUUCUCUGAUGUUAGCGGCGGACGGGUGAGUAACACGUGGAUAACCUACCUAUAAGACUGGGAUAACUUCGGGAAACCGGAGCUAAUACCGGAUAAUAUUUUGAACCGCAUGGUUCAAAAGUGAAAGACGGUCUUGCUGUCACUUAUAGAUGGAUCCGCGCUGCAUUAGCUAGUUGGUAAGGUAACGGCUUACCAAGGCAACGAUGCAUAGCCGACCUGAGAGGGUGUUCUGCCACCCUUGAACUGAGACACGGUCCAGACUCCUACGGGAGGCAGCAGUAGGGAAUCUUCCGCAAUGGGCGAAAGCCUGACGGAGCAACGCCGCGUGAGUGAUGAAGGUCUUCGGAUCGUAAAACUCUGUUAUUAGGGAAGAACAUAUGUGUAAGUAACUGUGCACAUCUUGACGGUACCUAAUCAGAAAGCCACGGCUAACUACGUG
This 497-nucleotide ribosomal RNA is filed under the name uncultured bacterium. RNAcentral's name for it is "partial 16S ribosomal RNA". It matches the Rfam family "Bacterial small subunit ribosomal RNA", at positions 28 to 507 of the family's 1533-position model. The record is from RNAcentral.